RNAcentral lists this non-coding RNA (31 nucleotides) under Rattus norvegicus (Norway rat). The record is from RNAcentral. Lineage: Eukaryota; Metazoa; Chordata; Mammalia; Rodentia; Muridae.
UGGUCACUCUGUCGCAAUCCUGUGAUGGCCU